GAUGAACGCUGGCGGCGUGCCUCAAACAUGCAAGUCGAGCGAGGCUAUGAGUUACCGCAAGGUAAGGCAUAGCCUAGCGGCGAACGGGUGAGUAACACGUGGGUAACCUACCUGGAAGACAGGGAUAACGAUUCGAAAGGGUCGCUAAUACCUGAUAAUAUCCAUCUGCCGGAUGGCGGAGGGAAGAAGGGGAAACCCGCUUUCAGAUGGGCCCGCGUCCCAUCAGCUAGUUGGUAAGGUAAAGGCUUACCAAGGCGACGACGGGUAGCCGGUCUGAGAGGAUGUACGGCCACACUGGGACUGAGAUACGGCCCAGACUCCUACGGGAGGCAGCAGUUGGGAAUCUUAGGCAAUGGACGAAAGUCUGACCUAGCGACGCCGCGUGAGGGAAGAAGGCCUUCGGGUUGUAAACCUCUGUCAUGGGGGAAGAAGGAAGUGACGGUACCCCAAGAGGAAGCCCCUGCUAACUACGUG
This 474-nucleotide ribosomal RNA is filed under the name uncultured bacterium. Its description in RNAcentral is "bacterial SSU rRNA". It matches the Rfam family "Bacterial small subunit ribosomal RNA", at positions 28 to 507 of the family's 1533-position model. The record is from RNAcentral.